AGAGUUUGAUCCUGGCUCAGAACGAACGCUGGCGGCAGGCCUAACACAUGCAAGUCGAACGCUCCAGCAAUGGAGAGUGGCAGACGGGUGAGUAACGCGUGGGAACCUACCCUUUGGUUCGGAAUAGCCCAGGGAAACUUGGGGUAAUACCGGAUACGCCCUUCGGGGGAAAGAUUUAUCGCCAUAGGAUGGGCCCGCGUCGGAUUAGCUAGUUGGUGGGGUAACGGCCUACCAAGGCUACGAUCCGUAGCUGGUCUGAGAGGAUGAUCAGCCACACUGGGACUGAGACACGGCCCAGACUCCUACGGGAGGCAGCAGUGGGGAAUAUUGGACAAUGGGCGCAAGCCUGAUCCAGCCAUGCCGCGUGAGUGACGAAGGUCUUCGGAUUGUAAAGCUCUUUUGGCGGGGAAGAUAAUGACGGUACCCGCAGAAUAAGCCCCGGCUAACUUCGUGCCAGCCGCCGCGGUAAUAC
Molecule: ribosomal RNA, 472 nt
Filed under: uncultured bacterium
Lineage: Bacteria
Description: bacterial SSU rRNA
Rfam family: Bacterial small subunit ribosomal RNA
Source: RNAcentral